Molecule: ribosomal RNA, 566 nt
Filed under: uncultured bacterium
Lineage: Bacteria
Description: partial 16S ribosomal RNA
Rfam family: Bacterial small subunit ribosomal RNA
Source: RNAcentral
UGGGGAAUUUUGGACAAUGGGCGAAAGCCUGAUCCAGCAAUGCCGCGUGUGUGAAGAAGGCCUUCGGGUUGUAAAGCACUUUUGUCCGGAAAGAAAUCCUUGGCUCUAAUACAGUCGGGGGAUGACGGUACCGGAAGAAUAAGCACCGGCUAACUACGUGCCAGCAGCCGCGGUAAUACGUAGGGUGCAAGCGUUAAUCGGAAUUACUGGGCGCAAAGCGUGCGCAGGCGGUUUGCUAAGACCGAUGUGAGAUCCCCGGGCUCAACCUGGGAACUGCAUUGGUGACUGGCAGGCUAGAGUAUGGCAGAGGGGGGUAGAAUUCCACGUGUAGCAGUGAAAUGCGUAGAGAUGUGGAGGAAUACCGAUGGCGAAGGCAGCCCCCUGGGCCAAUACUGACGCUCAUGCACGAAAGCGUGGGGAGCAAACAGGAUUAGAUACCCUGGUAGUCCACGCCCUAAACGAUGUCAACUAGUUGUUGGGGAUUCAUUUCCUUAGUAACGUAGCUAACGCGUGAAGUUGACCGCCUGGGGAGUACGGUCGCAAGAUUAAAACUCAAAUGAAUUGAC